This 76-nucleotide transfer RNA is filed under the name [Mycoplasma] phocae. RNAcentral describes it as "Mycoplasma phocidae tRNA-Lys". It matches the Rfam family "tRNA". Rfam says of the family: Transfer RNA (tRNA) molecules are approximately 80 nucleotides in length. Their secondary structure includes four short double-helical elements and three loops (D, anti-codon, and T loops). Further hydrogen bonds mediate the characteristic L-shaped molecular structure. tRNAs have two regions of fundamental functional importance: the anti-codon, which is responsible for specific mRNA codon recognition, and the 3' end, to which the tRNAs corresponding amino acid is attached (by aminoacyl-tRNA synthetases). tRNAs cope with the degeneracy of the genetic code in two manners: having more than one tRNA (with a specific anti-codon) for a particular amino acid; and 'wobble' base-pairing, i.e. permitting non-standard base-pairing at the 3rd anti-codon position. RNAcentral also lists the same sequence under 1 other name. Lineage: Bacteria; Bacillati; Mycoplasmatota; Mycoplasmoidales; Metamycoplasmataceae. The record is from RNAcentral.
GCGCUCUUAGCUCAGCUGGCAGAGCAAAGGACUCUUAAUCCUUGGGUCGUGGGUUCGAUCCCCACAGGGCGUACCA